This is an unclassified non-coding RNA of Mus spicilegus (steppe mouse), 282 nucleotides long. Its record names the gene 7SK. It matches the Rfam family "7SK RNA". From Rfam's summary of the family: 7SK was discovered as an abundant small nuclear RNA in the mid-70s but a possible function has only recently been suggested. Two independent studies have found that 7SK RNA binds the CDK9/cyclin T complex (known as elongation factor P-TEFb). P-TEFb activates transcription by phosphorylating the C-terminal domain of RNA polymerase II. NCBI's taxonomy places the organism in Eukaryota, Metazoa, Chordata, Mammalia, Rodentia, Muridae. The record is from Ensembl.
GGAUAUGAGAGCAAUCUGGUUGUGACAUCUGUCACCCCACUGAUCACCAGCUGAUCUAGCUAGCUAAGCAGGUAUCCUGUUCCUCACUGACCCAUGUGCAUCUUUCAGAAAGCUACAUGCUCCUUCCUGAACAGAGGAGGACCUAGGGGAGGACAGGUCUAGGUCAAGGGUAUGCAAGUAGUGCUCCCUGCGAGAACCUGCAGUCAAGCUCUCAUUCUCUCCCUGUGUUUAAGUUACGGACACCGAAGCAUCAGGAGAGUGGUGAACAUAUUGCCUGCCUGU